This 427-nucleotide ribosomal RNA is filed under the name uncultured bacterium. RNAcentral describes it as "partial 16S ribosomal RNA". It matches the Rfam family "Bacterial small subunit ribosomal RNA", at positions 355 to 774 of the family's 1533-position model. The record is from RNAcentral.
UGGGGAAUAUUGCACAAUAGGCGCAAGCCUGAUGCAGCCAUGCCGCGUGUAUGAAGAAGGCCUUCGGGUUGUAAAGUACUUUCAGCGGGGAGGAAGGCGAUAAGGUUAAUAACCUUGUCGAUUGACGUUACCCGCAGAAGAAGCACCGGCUAACUCCGUGCCAGCAGCCGCGGUAAUACGGAGGGUGCAAGCGUUAAUCGGAAUUACUGGGCGUAAAGCGCACGCAGGCGGCCUGUCAAGUCGGAUGUGAAAUCCCCGGGCUCAACCUGGGAACUGCAUUCGAAACUGGCAGGCUAGAGUCUUGUAGAGGGGGGUAGAAUUCCAGGUGUAGCGGUGAAAUGCGUAGAGAUCUGGAGGAAUACCGGUGGCGAAGGCGGCCCCCUGGACAAAGACUGACGCUCAGGUGCGAAAGCGUGGGGAGCAAACA